This 554-nucleotide ribosomal RNA is filed under the name Pseudomonas vranovensis. RNAcentral's name for it is "bacterial SSU rRNA". It matches the Rfam family "Bacterial small subunit ribosomal RNA", at positions 661 to 1215 of the family's 1533-position model. Lineage: Bacteria; Pseudomonadati; Pseudomonadota; Gammaproteobacteria; Pseudomonadales; Pseudomonadaceae. The record is from RNAcentral.
GUAGAAUUUCCUGGGUAGCGGUGAAAAGUGGACAUAUUGAAGGCACACCAAUCCCGAAGGCGACCACCUGGGCUCAUACUGACAUUGAGGUGCGAAAGCCUGGGAGCAAACAGGAUUAGAUACCCUGGUAGUGCACGCCGUAAAAGAUGUCAACUUGCCGUUGGAAUCCUUGAAAUUUCAGCGGCGUAGGUCACGCAUUAAGUUGACCGCCUGGGGAGCACGUCCGCAAGGUUAAAACUCAAAUGAACUGUCGGGGGCCCGCACCAGCGGUGGAGCAUGUACGCACAUUAAAUCAACGUGAAGAACCCUACCUGGCCAUUACAUGCAGAGAACUCUCCAAAGAAGGAGUUGCGCCUUCGGGAAGUAAGACCCAGACGGCACAGUGUUGUCGUCAGGUCCUUUCUUGAAAAGUAAGGUUAAGUACAGUAAGGAGGCCAACCCUUGUCACUAGGGAUCGGCGGGUUAGGGUGGGCACCCUAAGGAGAAUUCCGGGGAGAAAGCCGACGGAAGGGGGGUAUGACCGUAAUUCAAUUUCGGCCCUUAAUGCCUUGGCU